GCCGUACCGCAGACGAGCCCGCGCCCGCGCCGCUCAGGUGUUAAAACUACAUCUACAACAACUGCAACAACUAUAUCAGAACCACUCACUUUACUAUUUUGUUUAACCAGUAUUCUAUGAGGAGUUGACAGUUACCUGGACAACUAAAUGCCUGAUUUCCUUCUGUUGUCUCCCUCUCUCAGUUGACUACUGCUGAAGAGUUCUUGCUGAAGUACAUACCAGACCAUUUACUCCCCUUUCCCAAAGUCUCACAGUUAAUGACUUUGAAUCUGACUGGAUCUCCUAAUAACACGUUUGUUGUUCUUUCCAUUGCUCUACUGUGUAGCUAUUUCACUUCUAUUAGUCAAGAAACUCAUUGAAGCCUGGAAAUGUGAUUAAAUACAAACAACAAAUAAGGACUGUAGAAAUUCAAAGAAAGAGAUAUCAGUAUGUCUGAUAGCAGUUUUAAAUGCCUUCAUGUGGAGUUAAUUGAACAGUUUAAAAAUUUAAGUAACAUGAAAUAAAUGAGAAUACCAAUGAAUGCUGGCUGUGUGAUACCUUUUAAUAUCAUAUGAGAAAGCAUGUAUAAGAGCAAAUUGAUUAUCUGUUUGACUAACUUUUUCAGAGGUCAGUUUUAGAACUACGUUUACCUUAUGCUUCCCAUUAACAAAAGAAGAAUGAUUCUUGAAGUAACUGUUAAAAUUUUUAAACAGUGUUUUAAUAGACUGAGGCCAACAUUAUUUUCUGGAAAAAGUGAUCUCUCCAAUUAGAAUGUAAUUAAUAAAAAACUAUGAUUUGCAAAUCAUUAAUUUUGUACAUUAGCAUUCAUUCAAUGAGCACUUAUUGAACAUAUCUGCAGAGGAUAUAAACUGGCAGGUCAAAUCUUAGCUGCAGAUUUGUCCUGUUUGACC
RNAcentral lists this long non-coding RNA (890 nucleotides) under Equus asinus (donkey). Its description in RNAcentral is "lncRNA (ENSEASG00005027311.1)". Lineage: Eukaryota; Metazoa; Chordata; Mammalia; Perissodactyla; Equidae. The record is from RNAcentral.